This 85-nucleotide transfer RNA is filed under the name Felis catus (domestic cat). It matches the Rfam family "tRNA". From Rfam's summary of the family: Transfer RNA (tRNA) molecules are approximately 80 nucleotides in length. The record is from Rfam by way of RNAcentral. Lineage: Eukaryota; Metazoa; Chordata; Mammalia; Carnivora; Felidae.
GCCUGAGUGGCUCAGUCAGUUAAGCAUCUGACUUCGGAUUAGGUCAUGAUCUUGUGGUUUGUGGGUCCAAGCCCCGCAUCAGGCU